UAGAGGAAGUAAAAGUCGUAACAAGGUUUCCGUAGGUGAACCUGCGGAAGGAUCAUUAUUGAAAUAAAUCUGAUGAGUUGCUGCUGGUUCUUUAGGGAGCAUGUGCACACUCGUCGUCUUCAUAUCUCCACCUGUGCACUUUUUGUAGACCUGGAUAUCUCUCUGAAUGCUAGUCACUCAGGUUUGGGGAUUGACUUCAUCAUGUCUCUCCUUACACUUCCGGGCCUAUGUUUAUUCAUAUACUCCGUCGUACAAUGUAACCAAAUGGCCUUUAUGCCUAUAAAUCUAUACAACUUUCAGCAACGGAUCUCUUGGCUCUCGCAUCGAUGAAGAACGCAGCGAAAUGCGAUAAGUAAUGUGAAUUGCAGAAUUCAGUGAAUCAUCGAAUCUUUGAACGCACCUUGCGCUCCUUGGUAUUCCGAGGAGCAUGCCUGUUUGAGUGUCAUUAUAAUAUCGAUCUCUUCAGCUUUUGUUUGUUGAGUAUUGGAUGUGGAGGUCUUUUGCUGGCCUUCCCAGGUCAGCUCCUCUGAAAUAUAUUAGCUGAGCAAUUGUGGAUCGCUCAUUGGUGUGAUAACUAUCUACGCUAUCGACGUGAAACAGCUUAGCUUCUAACAGUCCAAUUGAUGUGGACUCAUUCUUCAUUAAUGUGACCUCAAAUCAGGUAGGACUACCCGCUGAACUUAAGCAUAUCAAUA
This 695-nucleotide ribosomal RNA is filed under the name Phlegmacium albofragrans. RNAcentral's name for it is "eukaryotic LSU rRNA". The stretch from base 292 to 445 matches the Rfam family "5.8S ribosomal RNA". The record is from RNAcentral. Lineage: Eukaryota; Fungi; Basidiomycota; Agaricomycetes; Agaricales; Cortinariaceae.